This 544-nucleotide ribosomal RNA is filed under the name uncultured bacterium. RNAcentral's name for it is "bacterial SSU rRNA". It matches the Rfam family "Bacterial small subunit ribosomal RNA", at positions 352 to 896 of the family's 1533-position model. The record is from RNAcentral.
CAGUGAGGAAUAUUGGUCAAUGGGCGCGAGCCUGAACCAGCCAAGUAGCGUGAAGGAUGAAGGCCCUAUGGGUCGUAAACUUCUUUUAUAAGGGAAUAAAGUGAGGCACGUGUGCCUUUUUGUAUGUACCUUAUGAAUAAGGAUCGGCUAACUCCGUGCCAGCAGCCGCGGUAAUACGGAGGAUCCGAGCGUUAUCCGGAUUUAUUGGGUUUAAAGGGAGCGUAGGUGGAUAUAUAAGUCAGUUGUGAAAGUUUGCGGCUCAACCGUAAAAUUGCAGUUGAUACUGUAUGUCUUGAGUACAGUAGAGGUGGGCGGAAUUCGUGGUGUAGCGGUGAAAUGCUUAGAUAUCACGAAGAACUCCGAUUGCGAAGGCAGCUCACUGGCCUGUCACUGACACUGAGGCUCGAAAGUGUGGGUAUCAAACAGGAUUAGAUACCCUGGUAGUCCACACAGUAAACGAUGAAUACUCGCUGUUUGCGAUACACAGCAAGCGGCCAAGCGAAGGCAUUAAGUAUUCCACCUGGGGAGUACGCCGGCAACGGUG